This 287-nucleotide long non-coding RNA is filed under the name Elaeis guineensis (African oil palm). RNAcentral's name for it is "long non-coding RNA (EGUI_LNC058722)". The record is from RNAcentral. Lineage: Eukaryota; Viridiplantae; Streptophyta; Magnoliopsida; Arecales; Arecaceae.
AUGCAGAGAUGGUUGUCCUCAAAAAAUCUUCAGAGCUGAAAAUAGCAUAAUUUAGUGGAGUAUCCAUUACGACCCAGACCCAUCACUCGAGCUAGGCGUGUGACAUGGCCGCAUAUUUUAUAGGACAUGACUCCAUGGAAUAUGUAAGGCCUUGAAACCUAUACAAAAACUCAAAUAACCAAAAUUCCAUCAUUAACAGAUAAGCACAUAUAAUCUAGCGUUGAUGGUCCAAAAAUUUCAGAAAAUAUCUAAUAUAAUCUACAGGAUUCCUUCUCUCUCCAGCAACC